This is a long non-coding RNA of Felis catus (domestic cat), 2056 nucleotides long. RefSeq lists it as uncharacterized. The record is from RefSeq and is a predicted model, not a curated record. Lineage: Eukaryota; Metazoa; Chordata; Mammalia; Carnivora; Felidae. The transcript has 4 exons.
AUUUUUGCGCCUGCUGCCAGGGGACACCUCUACCUGGUCUGGCUCCAUAGGCCCCUGGGGCUUAUGCUCAUGUGUAGAAGGUUCUGGAACAGUUACCAGCCCCACAGCACAGCCAGAGGCAGCUGACCCAGGAGCUCCUUCUUUAAGGCCUACUAGCUAAUCAUCGUAACUGCGGCCUGAGGGGCAGGCUUCUAAUUAAACACCCAUCUAGGAGCUGAUAAUAAUCCUUUCCAGGAGCCUCAGAGGGCAAUCUUGGUGCUCUCCCUCUGCAUUACUCCAGAGCUCUAGUAUCUCCUGAUGCCCUGAUUUUUACAUCUGGCACCCCAGCUUUUGCAGCUGCCACCGAAGAAACACUUCUUAAAAGCCUGGAUCAGGUGGCUGGUUGGGGGGGGGGGGCGCCUUGCAUUCCGGGCUCCUAUAGGACUGUAGCAAUUGGAGAGAUGGUUCUUGGCAAACUACCACCCCCAAGACACUGCACAGAGAGCAUAUUGAAUCAUUCUGUGAAGAGGGCCUCUUGGUUUGCCUUGGAACUUCAGCCUGAAGGGCAAUCUUCAGGUUUGGCACACAUUUAUUAGACAGCAGAGUUGCUUCCAUGGGACCAACGACCUUCCUUUGAGCAUACGCUCAUCAGAGGACUGUUUGGAUGAGGCCAAAAACAGCAGUUGGUAUUCAACAUACACACUUGGUCAGAGGCAUCCGUCGAUAUACGAAUGACCUAAAUUGCCUUGGGUUACACCUAUUCAUUCAUGGACACAAAAUUCGAAACAGACAUCAGCAAUACAAGGAUGGAUAAAAAUGAGUGCCUGCCAUCAGGGAGACUAUAUUCUAUCAGAGGAGACAGAAUAGCAACAAAUUGGACUGUGACAAAUGCAAACCCAUCAGCAUGAACAAAGUGCAAUCAAGGCACAGAAUAGAAGCAGUUAAUUUUGCCUAGAAAAGAAGAAAAAAGUCCUCAGAAAAAAUUACAUAGCCUUUACCUCGAUGCGGGCCUGGGAGAUCAAGGCAGUGUCUGCAGCCAGGUGCAUGCUGUCUAGUGACCUGGCUAGCCUGGCCGGGAGUUGGCAGGCUCCAGCACAUUGAGCUGCAGAAAGCAGGAGAGCAUCCAUGGCAUCAUGCCCAAGAGAAGAGCCAGAGAUGGAAGCCAGAGGAGCCUGUCUAAAGUGGGUUGUCAGAACAAAGGAGGCUGGUGGUGACUAUCGGGAGUCAAGAGAGAGCCAAGGUGAGGAUCCAAAAGGCCAGCAAGCCAGAGAAGGGGUUCCUGGGCUUCAAAGGAGUCCAUGGCAUAAGAAAGUUGAGACACUGAUCCAGAAGAGCCAUGAACCUGCUGAAGUGUACAUUCAGGGUGGAGGAAGCUUACUUCCACUCAGUCACGUUUAAAGGGCUGCAGGAGGCAGAAAUCAUCCAGCGUGCCAGGUGCACAAGUCAGCUGAUCAUGGCAACCACUGACGAAGGGCUGCGAUGGGCACUGCAGGGAGACAUCGUGGAGAGGAGGCUCUGGCUCAGACCUGAGUGUCAGGCAUAGCUGCCAGGAGGAACCGAGACGAGCAGUGCGGACAGGAACUGGGUAGGGCAAAUGGACACGAGCACAUGGUUCUCCAUGCAGAAAGCAGAGCCUGAGUAAAGGGUGGGGGUGAGAGGGCUGGCAUAUCUGAGAACAGAUGUUUCUGUGCCCAAAGGUAGACUUUGGAGUAGAGAGAGGUGAGGAAGAAGCAGAACGUGGAUCUUCUUUAUUUGCACAUGUUUCAUCAAGCCCCACCAGAAUGUAAUCUGCUUGGGAGUCUAUUUUAUUCACCCUGUAUCUCCAGUGUCUAGAAUCGUAGCAAAUGUACAGGUAGGAGUCAGAUCACAGAGAGCCGCAGAGAUCAUGUAAAGUUUUUAGAUUUUAUCUAAGAGGUAAAAACAUCUGUUUCUGGAAUGACUGAUCAAGAAAAGAAGAUAGGUGUGCUGAAUUAAAAAAAACUCCCGAGGCACCCGAGUGGCUCAGAUGGUUAAGUGUCCAAUUCUUGAUACACACUCAGGUCAUGAUCUUGUGGUCAUAAGAUCAAGCCUUGCAUCA